UCUGAAAUGAUUAGCUCUAAGCAGUCCUGACAUUGAUCGGUGGUUAUGAAAAGAAAUGAGCAAAAUCGCUCAUAACCAAAAGGCUCAUUUCUGCAGAAGUUCACUGCUCAGUACACCCAAUCGGCAGCCCCCCGGGGAGGAGAAGAGCAAAGACGAGGUCUGCAAUGCAGUGGCCACUGGGUGAUCAGACCCUCCAGAGGGCUGUCGGAGCUGAUCUGGUGUCCAGAUAAACGUGGCAUUCAUGCUAGCCAUCUGUCCACAGUAUCAGCGGAAUAAAUACCUUUCAAAGCCAAAUACUAUCAAAGAGCUAUUAAAUCCCAUGGCAAGUUGCAACACCGAGCCUACCAGAAACAUCCAUUUAACUGAAUUCUGCAGCAAAUCAGCUGAAAUCUCUCCCAUCUACAGCUUCCAGAAUCCUUGACUUUGUACGUUGUGAAGAAAAUUGUAGUAUUGACUAUUUGCCAGUGUUUGAACAAACCGACUGCUAGCUCUUGGAAUUUUGGACAGAUUAUAACAGGGGCUCAGAACAAAAUCUCUAGCAUCUUUUUAACCUCCAGAACAGAAGGUAUUCAGGCCUGGAUGCUUUAAAUCACUCACAAUGACUGUGAAUGCUUACAUCAGGACCCGUUCCAAGGACCAGAACUAGAAAAAUAUAUGGGUCUCAUUAUUCUGGAGAGGUAAAGGCUCUUAACUACAAAGGGCCGAGACCUGGCAGCUGGGCAUCACCGUGCUGGCCUACUUCAAAGCAGCCCCUUCCCACUGGGCACAUAUGCACGGGCAGGUACACGCGUGUGCCUCAUGGCACAAAGCAAGCAUGGACUGCCAGGCUGGAUGCAGAUAAAUAAACAAAAUGUAC
This 856-nucleotide long non-coding RNA is filed under the name Vulpes vulpes (red fox). RNAcentral describes it as "lncRNA (ENSVVUG00000013133.1)". Lineage: Eukaryota; Metazoa; Chordata; Mammalia; Carnivora; Canidae. The record is from RNAcentral.